Molecule: non-coding RNA, 70 nt
Organism: Arthromyces matolae
Lineage: Eukaryota; Fungi; Basidiomycota; Agaricomycetes; Agaricales; Lyophyllaceae
Source: the annotation of a GenBank genome assembly
UCUUCGCUAGUAUAUCGGUUAGUACACGCGCCUGUCACUCGUAAGCUGGGUUCGACUCCCAGGCGAAGAG